CGAGACACCCGUUCGCGGCGGCCGUUUGAUAUUUCCGUCGCCGUGUCGGACGUCGCGACCUGUUCGCCCGUCGGUCCCUGCUCGGAGGAGGCGCGAUCGAGCUCGUUGCGCGGUACGUUCCGGCGUGCCGUGCGGCGAAGACGCGACCCUCUGGCUGACGGCGGACAGUAAGCAACGGUGUCCGGCGUCGUGUCUCGCACUCGACGUCGGUGCCGGUCUGCGACGAUUUCUUCGGGCCUCUUUCCGACCCGUCUUGAAACACGGACCAAGGAGUCUAACAUGCGCGCGAGUCGCGGGGCAUCGAGCGCACCACGGUGCGCUCGUCAUGUACGAAACCCGUCUCUGAAAGGCGUAAUGAAAGUGAACAGGGAAGAUGGCGUUCCGAGUCCACGUACCGUGAUCGAGUGUCGCGGCCGGACGUCCGCACUCCCGGGGCGUCUCAAUGGCUCGUCGCGGACGCUAGUCUGCGUCGGACCGAGGCGCACCUACAGCGUGCACGUUGGUACCCGAAAGAUGGUGAACUAUGCCUGGCCAGGAUGAAGUCAGGGGAAACCCUGAUGGAGGUCCGCAGCGAUUCUGACGUGCAAAUCGAUCGUCUGAGCUGGGUAUAGGGGCGAAAGACUAAUCGAACCAUCUAGUAGCUG
Molecule: ribosomal RNA, 644 nt
Filed under: Pseudaulacaspis sp. MSG-2019
Lineage: Eukaryota; Metazoa; Arthropoda; Insecta; Hemiptera; Diaspididae
Description: partial large subunit ribosomal RNA
Rfam family: Eukaryotic large subunit ribosomal RNA
Source: RNAcentral